AUUCCCUUAGUAAUGGCGAAUGAAACGGGAAGAGCCCAUCGUCGAAUCGCAAGUCAUUCAGGCUUUGCGAAAUGUGACGUUUGGGAGGGUCUUCCACGGCUCGGACGAUCAGUCAAAGUCCAACUUGACAGUGGCCACAGCCCAUAGAGGGUGAUAGGCCCGUAAGGCGGUUGUCCGGCUGUGCUGACCUCUCUCUAGAGUCGGAUUGCUUGGGAGUGCAGUCCAAAGUGCGAGGUAAACUCCUCGUAAGGCUAAAUAUAACCCCGAGACCGAUAGCAAACAAGUACAGUGAUGGAAAAUUGAAAAGAACUUUGAAGAGAGAGUUAAGAGUACGUGAAACUGUGUGGUGGUAAACGGAGGCGUUCUCGAAGUGUCCGUGGGGGAUUCAAGCUUGGUGGCGGGCAGCCGGUGCGCUCUGAUCAGCAAUGACUGGGCGUGCCGUGUCGGCCUGUCUCCCGGCCGCACUUUCCCCGCGGUUUACGGCAGGAACCGUUGGGACCGGACCAAAGGCCUGGGAUGAAGUUGCCGGCCCUUACGGGCUUGUAGCUCCCGGUGUCCUGGCUUCGGGCCCGACGGGAUUCGAGUGGACUUGUAUAGCAAGCGACAGCCUGUUGCGGUUCACGUCUCUCUGCCGAGUAGGUCGGUGGCGCCUCCNANNCGUCUUGAAACNNGGACCAAGGAGUCUAACAUGNAUGCGAGCCAUUGNNNUNACUAAACCUA
This 720-nucleotide ribosomal RNA is filed under the name Calamoecia ampulla. RNAcentral's name for it is "eukaryotic LSU rRNA". It matches the Rfam family "Eukaryotic large subunit ribosomal RNA", at positions 74 to 711 of the family's 3401-position model. The record is from RNAcentral. Lineage: Eukaryota; Metazoa; Arthropoda; Copepoda; Calanoida; Centropagidae.